RNAcentral lists this transfer RNA (78 nucleotides) under Candidatus Bathyarchaeota archaeon. Its description in RNAcentral is "tRNA-Arg". It matches the Rfam family "tRNA". Rfam says of the family: Transfer RNA (tRNA) molecules are approximately 80 nucleotides in length. Their secondary structure includes four short double-helical elements and three loops (D, anti-codon, and T loops). Further hydrogen bonds mediate the characteristic L-shaped molecular structure. tRNAs have two regions of fundamental functional importance: the anti-codon, which is responsible for specific mRNA codon recognition, and the 3' end, to which the tRNAs corresponding amino acid is attached (by aminoacyl-tRNA synthetases). tRNAs cope with the degeneracy of the genetic code in two manners: having more than one tRNA (with a specific anti-codon) for a particular amino acid; and 'wobble' base-pairing, i.e. permitting non-standard base-pairing at the 3rd anti-codon position. The record is from RNAcentral. Lineage: Archaea; Thermoproteati; Candidatus Bathyarchaeota. RNAcentral also lists the same sequence under 1 other name.
GGGCCCGUGGCCUAGUCUGGAUAAGGCGUCGGCCUUCUAAGCCGAAGAUCCGGGGUUCAAAUCCCCGCGGGUCCGCCA